This 486-nucleotide ribosomal RNA is filed under the name uncultured bacterium. RNAcentral describes it as "partial 16S ribosomal RNA". It matches the Rfam family "Bacterial small subunit ribosomal RNA", at positions 30 to 507 of the family's 1533-position model. The record is from RNAcentral.
AUUGAACGCUGGCGGCAUGCCUUACACAUGCAAGUCGAACGGCAGCACGGGUGCUUGCACCUGGUGGCGAGUGGCGAACGGGUGAGUAAUACAUCGGAACAUGUCCUGUAGUGGGGGAUAGCCCGGCGAAGGCCGGAUUAAUACCGCAUACGAUCCACGGAUGAAAGCGGGGGACCUUCGGGCCUCGCGCUAUAGGGUUGGCCGAUGGCUGAUUAGCUAGUUGGUGGGGUAAAGGCCUACCAAGGCGACGAUCAGUAGCUGGUCUGAGAGGACGACCAGCCACACUGGGACUGAGACACGGCCCAGACUCCUACGGGAGGCAGCAGUGGGGAAUUUUGGACAAUGGGCGAAAGCCUGAUCCAGCAAUGCCGCGUGUGUGAAGAAGGCCUUCGGGUUGUAAAGCACUUUUGUCCGGAAAGAAAUCCUUGACUCUAAUACAGUCGGGGGAUGACGGUACCGGAAGAAUAAGCACCGGCUAACUACGUG